GCAGUCGUGGCCGAGUGGUAAAGGCGAUGCACUAGAAAUCCAUUGGGGUCUCCCCGCACAGGUUCGAAUCCUGUCGACUGCG
Molecule: transfer RNA, 82 nt
Filed under: Ixodes scapularis (black-legged tick)
Lineage: Eukaryota; Metazoa; Arthropoda; Arachnida; Ixodida; Ixodidae
Rfam family: tRNA
About the family: Transfer RNA (tRNA) molecules are approximately 80 nucleotides in length. Their secondary structure includes four short double-helical elements and three loops (D, anti-codon, and T loops).
Source: Rfam by way of RNAcentral